GAUGAAGAACGUAGCGAAAUGCGAUAAGUAAUGCGAAUUGCAGAAUUCCAGUGAGUCAUCGAAUCUUUGAACGCACAUUGCGCCCCUUGGUAUUCCGAGGGGCAUGCCUGUUCGAGCGUCAUUAUCACCCCUCAAGCUCAGCUUGGUGUUGGGGCCGGCCCGUCACAGGGCCGCCCCUAAAAGCAGUGGCGGUGCCAUCUGGCUCUACGCGUAGUAAUACUCCUCGCGACAGAGUCCCGGUGGUGUCCUGCCAGAACCCCCCAUCUUUUAAUGAUUGACCUCGGAUCAGGUAGGGAUACCCGCUGAACUUAAGCAUAUCAAUAAGCGGAGGA
RNAcentral lists this unclassified non-coding RNA (332 nucleotides) under soil metagenome. RNAcentral's name for it is "partial contains 5.8S ribosomal RNA, internal transcribed spacer 2, and large subunit ribosomal RNA". The stretch from base 1 to 121 matches the Rfam family "5.8S ribosomal RNA", at positions 35 to 154 of the family's 154-position model. The record is from RNAcentral.